This is a long non-coding RNA of Nyctereutes procyonoides (raccoon dog), 6428 nucleotides long. RefSeq lists it as uncharacterized. The record is from RefSeq and is a predicted model, not a curated record. The transcript has 5 exons. Lineage: Eukaryota; Metazoa; Chordata; Mammalia; Carnivora; Canidae.
GGCGCGAAAUCUGCGGCGGCUGGUUGCUGCGGGGGCGGCUGCUACAAAUCACCCUUCUUGGAUGCUCCGUGAUCAUUACCAGGGCCCUUGCGGAGUCCCGCCAGCUCCUCAGCGGCCCGGCAGAUCCACCAGAAAUGGCUCGAGACCACGCCUGCGAUUCCAGUGCCCGUGAAUUCUACUUUCGUUAUGCCUUCACAAGCACUGAAUAGGGAGUUCCUCACAGACUGGACUUGGGGUGUUUGAAAAAGACAGACAUGUGGAUAACCAGCUUGAUAUAAAUCCUUAAACGUAGGUGACCACAUUCCAUACCACACGCACCCUUCCUACUCCUACAACCUUGCUCACAGCUUGUUGGACGAUGGAAUCAGAACUGGAGAAACAAGAAGAGACACUCCAUGAAAGCAGAAGCUGACAGACACACAGAGAGGCAGUAGUCAGACUUCAUGAGUAAGCACAAGCCGUGAAUAAACACCAGCCGUGAGCAAACAAAAACCAUGAGGCAGCAAAAAGAUACACAAAGUAAUGAUGGAAGUGAUAGAAGAUGACUAAGGCAGCAUCACAUUCUCAGGAGGAAGGGUCCCUAGCCAGACCUGGAGCCAGAGCCUUUAAAAACAAGAAGAAGAAGAAAGAAGAAGAAGAAGAAGAAGAAGAAGAAGAAGAAGAAGAAGAAGAAGAAGAAAGAAGAAAGAAGAAGAAGACUUUGCUCCUGAAAGAUUCAGCUGGAUGGGAACCAUCUUGUUCAUCUCUGAAUCACCUUGCCUAGAGCACUGUCUGGCACAGAGUUGGUGCUCAGUGAUGUUUGUUGAAUGAAGGCCUGGGCACCUAGACCGAUCCCUAUCUUCCCCAAGGGGAAAGAGUCCUGAUGUAGGCCGGCAAGAAUGGAAUCCUUAAAGGCACAAAGCAGAGCAAGCAUGGCAGGAGGAGGAGCUUUGCAGGAAGCAGGGGAGGCAGUCAAGAAACCGUAAAUGAAACUGAACUGGAGCUGCAUUCUGUUGAAUCUCUCUGCCUCUUUUCUUCAUUUCUCUUCAUGUUCUCUCCUAUGGCUUAUCUCAUUACUUCUGGCAAGUUGGAUCUGGGCAUCCCAAGCAGGACUGGGGUGGAGGCAUAUAUGGAAGAGGAGGCCUGAGGUCUGGUUUGAACUGGGAGCUAGUUUUGACUCUGAACUAAAGGACCCCAGCCUUCAGCUUCUAGAACUGCUGGGCACCAGCGCUGCCCAUUCUCACACAGGUCUCAGGACACUUACCACACCAUCAACCUAGCCCGUCCCUCUCCUCUCCUGCCCUAUUUCCUUUCCCCUUCUCCCCUCCAUCAGUCAUGGCAAAUGGGGUUUGAGAGGGGAUAGGGAAGAGGGGAUGGGAAGCCAGGCCAGGAAGAGAUGGAUAUAUUUGACUGGGAGCCUAAGAAGGGAAGGAAGGACACAGUGCAUCAAUAAAUAUAGGAUAGGAGUUAAGGUUGAAGAAAUGUUGUUAGAUUUCUGAACCAUGUUUGCUAUUUUAGUAUCGGAAAUGAUUGUCAGUUAAAAUCUCUGCCCUGGGGAUCCCUGGGUGGCGCAGUGGUUUGGCGCUUGCCUUUGGCCCGGGGCGUGAUCCUGGAGACCCGGGAUCGAGUCCCACGUCGGGCUCCCGGUGCAUGGAACCUGCUUGUGUCUCUGCCUCUCUCUCUCUAUCUCUCUGUGACUAUCAUAAAUAAAUAAAAAUUAAAAAAAAAAUUAAAAAAAAAAUCUCUGCCCUGGUAUUGGGAAAGCUACAGAAAGCUGGAGCUUCCCGAUAUGCAGCUAAUUCUGGAGUAGCAGUGUGGUACUUGAGGCCAUGGGAAAAAGUGCAUGCACUUUGGAGUAAGAUUGAGCUGGGUUACCACUUGCUAGCUCUCUAGUUUGGGGCAGGUUCCUUAAUCACUCUGGAUUUUACUUCUUUUUUUCUGUAAGAUGAAGAUAACAAUAGUAUGCACACACACAAAAAACCAAUAGUAUGCACUUUAUAGGAUCAUAAUGACUAAAGGAAAUGAGCUUUAUCAAGUUUUGUGAAAUGUGCUUAGGAAACUCAAAUGAUACCUAUUGUUAUCAUUAGUAAUAUGAUCAUCUUGUGCUCUUUACUUACACAAAGUGAGGUAUUUUCUUUUCUUCUCAGCUCUGGGUUGGAAGCAAAAUAGACUGAGUUUCUGAGAAUUCUUAAGAGGAAGACAGGCACUCAGACAGCCUGUCUGAGAAGCAAUUCUGAUAGUUUAAGGUUCAGGAAGCCUGUAGAAUUCCACAGCAGUGACUAUAAUGGGGGCUCUGGAGACCGUUAGUUCUCAAGAUGAGAGGGUGAUUAACUAGGAAAAGCGUAAAAGUUUUACUUUGGGAAAGUUUGCCCACAUUGCACGCUGCCCUUUCUCUACAGGUCUGAAUUGUAAGGAGUGGCCAAAUCCAAUUUAACCAACAAACAAGCCAGUAAGCCAGAGAGCUGGCUAUUAAGCUACUGUAAGCCCUGGCACAUUUGGCUUUACCUCCCCAGUUUCUGUAACAUUUCCCAUAGUUUCCCAUGGCUGGGCUCACUGAUGCAAAAUCCCCCCAGGCCCGCAGUUUUUGCCUAUCAUCUGUGGAAUUAGUUCUUUACGCUGAAUUAGUUCUCUAUGCUGCUGUUACAAAUGAUACAACCUUGGUGGCUUAAACAACACAGAUUUAUGAUCUUAUCGUUCUAGAUAUCAAAAGAGCAAAAUUCGUCUCAUUGAGCUAAAAUCAAGGUGUCAGUAGGGCUAUGUUCCUUUCUAGAGGCCCUGGAGGGGAUAAUCUGUUUCCUUACUUUUCUAGCGUCUAGAGGCCACCUGCAUUUCUUGGCUAAUGGCCCCUUCCAUCGUCAAAGUCAGUAACGGCUGAGUGAGUCCUCACAUCGAGUCAUUCCAACCUCUACUUCUGUCAUCAUAUUUCCUCUUGAAUUUCUGCUUCCCUCUUCCAUAUUAAGGACACUUAUGGGGCAGCCCGGGUGGCUCAGUGGUUUAGCGCCACUUUCAGCCCAGGGCCUGAUCCUGGAGACCCGGGAUCGAGUCCCACAUCGGGCUCCCUGCAUGGAGCCUGCUUCUCCCUCUGCCUGUGUCUCUGCCUCUCUCUCUCUCUCUCUCUCUCUGUGUGUGUGUGUGUGUUUGUCUCAUGAAUAAAUAAAUAAAAUCUUAAAAAAAAAAAAAGGACACCUAUGAUUAGAUAGGGCCCACCUGAAUAAUCCAAGAUAAUCUCCUUAUUUUAAAGUCAGCUGAUUUGGGGUGCCUGAGUGGCUCACUUGGUUGGGCAUCUGCCUUCAGCAAAUGUCACAAUCCUGAGAUCCUUGGAUUGAGCCCCACAUCAGGCUCCUUGCUUGGGGAGGAGUCUGCUUCUCACUCUUCCUCUGCCACUACCCCCCCCCCCCCGCUGUGCUCUCUCUCUCUCUCUCUCUCAAGCAAAUAAAUAAAAUCUUAAAAAGAAAAUAAAGUCAGGUGAUUUGCAACCUUAUUUCUAUUUGCAACCCUUGCCAUAGUUCCAUGAUUUCCCUGGCCCUGUAAUGUAACCUAUUCAUAGGUUCCAGAGAUAGAUAUGUGUAUAUUUGGGGGCUCUUGUUCCACCUUCAACAACUCUUAUCCAUUAUGCCCUGCUCUGUGAUUCUAAACCCAGAUUUAGAAUUUAGUAAAGUCCCUCAGAUACCAGGCUCGAGCCAUCUUCCUUGUGAUGGUGUCCAUGAAUCCCAUGCUGGAGGAGUUGGUCUCUGGUCUCCCCAGCUCCCUUCACCUCAUUUGACCUUCAUGUAAAAUGACCCGAGGUGAGGUGCCAUACACUGAGCAUGCAAGUACUCUGGUUGCUCUGCUCAAACUGGUGGGUAGGAGAAAUUUUUUUUUAUUUCUUCACAUUCAGAUUCUUUGUUGUGAUAGCUAGCUAAUCAAGUUUUUCUUUGAUGAAUAUUUUCAAACAUAAGAAGCUUAUCCAUCCAUUCUACGUCCCAGCCUUAUCUGAUAGUACUUUCAUUAACUCGAAACUAACCGAUUAACUCAGGUACUAACUCAAUUAAUGCCUGAGGACAGUUUACACAAACUACAAUAAUCAUUAGCUGCCAGUUCCUAAACCUACUCAGAGGUGCCUGUACUGUUUUAGAUAUGUACAGAAAGGCACACUCAUACCUUCUUAGAUACAUGCGUGAAGAAACACUCAUGUACAUGCACAGUGAUCAUUGUAGUGGGGAGAAGAUCUUAAACAUCUAUUAAGAUGUGCUAGAUGUCCACAGGAUGACAUAUGCAAGUGUUGCUCUAUAUAGAACUAAUAUAUAGAGCUCAUAUAGCUCUGGGUGUUAACUAACUGGAAUUAAAAUAAAAAUUUAAGUGAAGAAAGAUGUGCUGUAUAUCAUCUUAAGGGGAAGGAAACAUUUAUUGAGAACCUGCUUUGUUGUUGAAAACUUUAUAUUUGGGACGCCUAGGUGGGUCAGCAGUUGAACAUCUGCCUUUGGCUCCAGGUGUGAUCCUGGGGUCCUGGGAUGGGGUCCCACAUUGGGCUCCCUUGAGGACCCUGCUUCUCCCUCUGCCUAUGUCUUUACCUCUCUCUGUGUGUCUCUCAUGAAUAAAUAAAUUUUAAAAAACUUUAUAUCUUAAACUUACUUUAAUUCUCAUUAUAAUGCAGGAAAACAGCUUUUAUGAUCUCCCUUUUACAAGUGGGAUAAUUGCAGCCCUAAAAAUCACACAGCUAGUAAGAUUUGAACAUUUCACACCUGCACUGUUUCUAAAACGUUUCUCAACUUUUUUCUUUUCCCUCACUUGACCAACCUUAAAGCUGGGGAAUGAACCAGAAUAGAGUUGUUCAAAGUGAGGUUACUGAAGCGAACCCCAGAGUUUUAUGGGGGUACUCAGAGGCUCCUCACAUGGAAAUGAAGGUGCUUGGUAAGAGGCAAGCUGAGUGGGCUGGGCUUUGGGCUCUUCCCACCCUCCAUCAGGCCAGUUCUGCUAUUAUUAGUUCUACAUAUUGGGAUGCAAUAUAAUAUUUCAAUAGAAAGGAAGAUGGGAUGGAGUUCUGCUAAAAUAGCCUCUUGAAGGCCAUUAGACUGGAAUCUGACCACCAUGCCCUGUGAUUCUGGAAGUCUGUUCUAAUUGUCCCCAGUUAAUUAACCAGUUCUUCCAAUGCCAGUGCCUUGGUUAUCCUCUGAAUGUGAUUAGGGGCUUUGCUCUCUAGAAUGAAAGAGAAUCAUCUCAGCUAGUAAGUGAUGCAAGAAUUAUUAAGGUAGAGUAGCAGCAAGAUUCUCAGGCACUUGGCUGCCCCACAGACCAAAUGUAAGCUGAGAGCUGAGGGGAAGUCAGAUUCGUGUUAAAGACAGUGCUGAUCCGGCACUAGACAGUGGAAGAUUCUACAGAAAAGGAACCCCUCACAGUGAUGGUAAAUGGGGUAUGAGGAGGUACCCAGAUAUUUUGAAAAUUGUCCCUUUUAGGGACUAUAUGUGGUUAGGAUAUCGAUAUGGUCCCUUCUGAGACGCUGCCUUGCUGUACCACUGGUUGGCUUAUCGUGAGUCAAUAUGAGACUCUCAAAGCAAAUUCAGUCCCAUCAGAGUAUCACUUAUUUAAAUCUGUAACGGAGAUAAGAACUUUGAAAAUUUUAAGUCAGCAUCUCAUAAGCUACAAUGUCUGGGUGAGUCAAUAUCUGAAAGAAGACAAGAGAUCAUAUGUGGAAUUUAAGAAACAAAACAAAUGAACAAAGGGGGAAAAAGAGAGAGAAAGAGAAGCAAACCAAGAAGCAGACUCUUAACUAUAGAGAAUUGAUGGUUACCAGAGGGGAGUGGGCAGGGGAAUGGAGACCUGCCAUAAGGAGGUCACUUGCUGUGGUGAGCACUAGGUGAUGUAUGGAAGUGUUGAAGCACUGUAUUGUACACCUGAAACUACUAUUACACUGUAUGUUAACGAACUGAAAUUUAAGUAAAAUAUUUUUUAAAAAGAAGACAAAAGAUAGAAUGAAAGCUACAUUUUCUCUUCUUUCAGAGGACACUCUUACGCCCGCUUCCCUGAGUUACUCCUUGGUAUUCCCUCAAUGAAGAGUACUAAAAAUAACUGACAUUUAUUGUUGGAGCUCUUAAAUCUUUACGAGCACUUGAGUCUUUAACAGAGCCUCAAAUUGUCCUCCUCAAAACACCUCGCCUCUCUUCCAUAGUAAUAGGAUUCCCAAGUUUUAGCUGUGCCCAAAGCUGCCUGGAAUUUCCCAGCCUCCCUUGCAGCUAGAUGUGACCAUGUGACUCAGUUCUUGUCAGUGAGAUACAAGUUGAAGUGUUGUAUGGCAGCUUCUGCCGUUAUCCUCAAAAGGUAAAUGGUAUGUGCUCUUUGACUCGUCUUCACUCCAUCCUCCAUCCUGCUUCCUGGAACACAGAUGUGAUGGUUGCCAUGAUAGUUACCAUCUUGGACCAUGACAGUGAGGGCCACAAUGAAGGAAUGAAGAACAGGGAGAUGACCUGGGUCCC